This 75-nucleotide transfer RNA is filed under the name Mycobacterium phage Reindeer. Its description in RNAcentral is "tRNA-Ile". It matches the Rfam family "tRNA". Rfam says of the family: Transfer RNA (tRNA) molecules are approximately 80 nucleotides in length. Lineage: Duplodnaviria; Heunggongvirae; Uroviricota; Caudoviricetes; Vilmaviridae. The record is from RNAcentral.
GCCUGUUUAGCUCAGUUGGUAAGAGCGCCUGCCUGAUACGCAGGAGGUCGGUGGUUCAAUCCCAUCAACAGGUAC